This 497-nucleotide ribosomal RNA is filed under the name uncultured bacterium. Its description in RNAcentral is "partial 16S ribosomal RNA". It matches the Rfam family "Bacterial small subunit ribosomal RNA", at positions 28 to 507 of the family's 1533-position model. The record is from RNAcentral.
GAUGAACGCUGGCGGCGUGCCUAAUACAUGCAAGUCGAGCGAACGGACGAGAAGCUUGCUUCUCUGAUGUUAGCGGCGGACGGGUGAGUAACACGUGGAUAACCUACCUAUAAGACUGGGAUAACUUCGGGAAACCGGAGCUAAUACCGGAUGAUAUUUUGAACCGCAUGGUUCAAAAGUGAAAGACGGUCUUGCUGUCACUUAUAGAUGGAUCCGCGCUGCAUUAGCUAGUUGGUAAGGUAACGGCUUACCAAGGCAACGAUGCAUAGCCGACCUGAGAGGGUGAGCGGCCACACUGGAACUGAGACACGGUCCAGACUCCUACGGGAGGCAGCAGUAGGGAAUCCUCCGCAAUGGGCGAAAGCCUGACGGAGCAACGCCGCGUGAGUGAUGAAGGUCUUCGGAUCGUAAAACUCUGUUAUUAGGGAAGAACAUAUGUGUAAGUAACUGUGCACAUCUUGACGGUACCUAAUCAGAAAGCCACGGCUAACUACGUG